Molecule: ribosomal RNA, 329 nt
Filed under: uncultured eukaryote
Lineage: Eukaryota
Description: partial 18S ribosomal RNA
Rfam family: Eukaryotic small subunit ribosomal RNA
Source: RNAcentral
CCCUUAGAUGUCCUGGGCCGCACGCGCGCUACACUGAGUGUCUGAGAUACGAGUCUGCCUGGUCCGGCAAGGUCUAGGUAAUCGCUAAAAGACACAUCAUGCUUGGGAUAGAUUAUUGCAAAUAUUAAUCUUGAACGAGGAAUUCCCAGUAAGCGCAAGUCAACAGCUUGCGUUGAUCACGUCCCUGCCCUUUGUACACACCGCCCGUCGCUACUACUGAUUGGAUGUUUAAGCGAGGUUCUCGAACUGCUAGCGACUUAGCUUCGGUGAGGUCGCAGUGUGGGAAGUGAACCUAGCUUUGGUGUCUAGAGGAAGUAAAAGUCGUAACA